This 378-nucleotide ribosomal RNA is filed under the name uncultured bacterium. RNAcentral's name for it is "bacterial SSU rRNA". It matches the Rfam family "Bacterial small subunit ribosomal RNA", at positions 32 to 402 of the family's 1533-position model. The record is from RNAcentral.
AAUCAACGCUGGCGGCGUGCCUCAGACAUGCAAGUCGAACGAUUAAAGCUCUCUUCGGAGAGUGUAUAGAGUGGCGCACGGGUGAGUAACACGUAAGUAAUCUACCUUUGAGUGGGGAAUAACAGUCGGAAACGGCUGCUAAUACCGCAUAACGCAGCGGCACCGCAAGGUGACAGUUGUUAAAGGAGCAAUCCGCUUAAAGAGGAGCUUGCGGCAGAUAGCUUGUUGGUAAGGUAACGGCUUACCAAGGCUACGAUCUGUAUCCGGUCUAAGAGGACGGUCGGACACACUGACACUGAAUAACGGGUCAGACUCCUACGGGAGGCAGCAGUCGGAAUUUUGGGCAAUGGGCGAAAGCCUGACCCAGCAACGCCGCGU